RNAcentral lists this ribosomal RNA (891 nucleotides) under uncultured bacterium. Its description in RNAcentral is "bacterial SSU rRNA". It matches the Rfam family "Bacterial small subunit ribosomal RNA", at positions 505 to 1397 of the family's 1533-position model. The record is from RNAcentral.
GUGCAGCAGCCGCGGUAAUACGUAGGUGGCAGCGUUGUCCGGAUUUAUUGGGCGUAAAGCGAGCGCAGGCGGUUUCUUAAGUCUGAUGUGAAAGCUCCCGGCUCAACCGGGGAGGGUCAUUGGAAACUGGGAGACUUGAGUGCAGUAGAGGUAAGUGGAACUCCAUGUGUAGCGGUGGAAUGCGUAGAUAUAUGGAAGAACACCAGUGGCGAAGGCGGCUUACUGGACUGCAACUGACGUUGAGGCUCGAAAGUGGGGGUAGCAAACAGGAUUAGAUACCCUGGUAGUCCACACCGUAAACGAUGAACACUAGGUGUUAGGAGGUUUCCGCCUCUUAGUGCCGAAGCUAACGCAUUAAGUGUUCCGCCUGGGGAGUACGACCGCAAGGUUGAAACUCAAAGGAAUUGACGGGGACCCGCACAAGCGGUGGAGCAUGUGGUUUAAUUCGAAGCAACGCGAAGAACCUUACCAGGUCUUGACAUCCUUUGAAGCUUUUAGAGAUAGAAGUGUUCUCUUCGGAGACAAAGUGACAGGUGGUGCAUGNNNNNNNNNAGCUCGUGUCGUGAGAUGUUGGGUUAAGUCCCGCAACGAGCGCAACCCUUAUUGUUAGUUGCCAGCAUUCAGAUGGGCACUCUAGCGAGACUGCCGGUGACAAACCGGAGGAAGGCGGGGACGACGUCAGAUCAUCAUGCCCCUUAUGACCUGGGCUACACACGUGCUACAAUGGCGUAUACAACGAGUUGCCAACCCGCGAGGGUGAGCUAAUCUCUUAAAGUACGUCUCAGUUCGGAUUGUAGUCUGCAACUCGACUACAUGAAGCCGGAAUCGCUAGUAAUCGCGGAUCAGCACGCCGCGGUNANUACGUUCCCGGGUCUUGUACACACCGCCCGU